RNAcentral lists this ribosomal RNA (595 nucleotides) under uncultured bacterium. RNAcentral describes it as "partial 16S ribosomal RNA". It matches the Rfam family "Bacterial small subunit ribosomal RNA", at positions 355 to 941 of the family's 1533-position model. The record is from RNAcentral.
UGGGGAAUCUUCCGCAAUGGACGAAAGUCUGACGGAGCAACGCCGCGUGAGUGAAGAAGGUUUUCGGAUCGUAAAACUCUGUCUUUUGGGGCGAACGUGAGUAUGGUGAACAAUCAUAGUCAGUGACGGUACCAAAGGAGGAAGCCACGGCUAACUACGUGCCAGCAGCCGCGGUAAUACGUAGGUGGCAAGCGUUGUCCGGAAUUAUUGGGCGUAAAGAGCGCGUAGGCGGGAUAGUCAGUCUGUUGUAAAGUGCGGGGCUCAACCCCGUGAUGGCAAUGGAAACAGCUAUUCUUGAGUGCAGGAGAGGAAAGUGGAAUUCCCAGUGUAGCGGUGAAAUGCGUAGAUAUUGGGAGGAACACCAGUGGCGAAGGCGACUUUCUGGACUGUGUCUGACGCUGAGGCGCGAAAGCCAGGGGAGCGAACGGGAUUAGAUACCCCCGGUAGUCCUGGGCCGUAAAACGAUGGGGUACUAGGUGUGGGAGGUAUCGACCCCCUUUCCGUGCCGGAGUUAACGCAAUAAGUACCCCGCCUGGGGAGUACGGUCGCAAGACUGAAACUCAAAUGAAUUGACGGGGGUCAUAGCUGUUUCCUG